GCUGAGGGCAGAGCUGUUUGCCUGGCAGAGGAGGAGCAAACAGCCAUGUUGUAAAUGGCCUCUGAGGAGGACUGGCCUCUAGGAGUUGAGGACCUCAAGCCUACAUCUGCAAGGAAUUGAACGAUGCCAAGAACCCGAACAAACUCUGAAGAUGAGAAUGCGGCCCUGUGCCAAGACUGGCUGCCUUCCCCUGUUUCUGUACCACACUGGUUCCUGAAGCUAUUUGAGUUUGAGACUGCUGGGGUAACCUGACCCACUUCAAGGAUCUGAAAGUAUUUUACAGUUGGUUGAAUCCAUGGAUGUGGAACCCAUGGAUGUGAAGGACUGACUGUACUUUGCACUAGUGGUUCUCAAAGUGUGGGCCCUGGACCAGUGGCAGCAGCAUCACCUGGGAACUUGUGAGAAAUGCACUUUUCAGCUCCUGUUUCAGAUGGACCUAUCAGAAUCUCUGCAGGAACAUUUUGAAGUCCCCUCAUAUACAAUGAAAUGAUAGAUUUGUCAACACAGAUAAAUCUCAAAAACACAAUAAGUGAAGAAAGUAAGUUGCAGAUGGAAAUAAUAUGUGAUGGUCAAACAAUCUAGAUGUUUCCGUGAAGGUGUUUUUGGAUGAGACUAACAUUGACAUUGGUGGACUUUGAGUAAAGCAGGUUGCCUGCGUGCCAUAAUGUGGGUAUUCUCAUCCAAUCAGUUGCGGGAUUUAACAGAGCAAAGACUGAGGUCCCCUGAGAAAAUAGGAUUCCACCAGCAGACAGCCUUCAGCCUUGAACUGCAGUGUCACCUCUUCACUGGGCCUCCCAACCUGCUGACACUUUGAUCUUGGACUUCUAGCCUCCAUAACUGUGUGAGCCAAUUCCCUAAAAUAAAUCUCUCUCUGUACACAUUCUAUGGUUAUGUUUCUGGCAAGAGUGGUGGGCUCUGUGCGUCCUGAUGGUGGCAGCAGAGACCAGCUUGGGAGCCACCUGGCUCCUCUGCCCUAGCCCAUUAUGGCCUGAAUCCAAUCAAUUUCAGUUCUCAGCACUUCUGAAAACGUGCGUGGCUUAGAGUGUCUGGCAGGGCUCAGGAGAGAAAAGCAUUUCUCAGCCCCGGGACACAUAUAUGCCUCCAGGCACUGGUUGUGGCUUGCAAUCUGGGAGGGCAGGUGAACGGACACCCUCCCUCCUUGCACAGGCCUGGGAUCUGCCUUACUCAACUCCCACUUCUACCAGGAGCAGAGGAUCACCGCUGCCCAGCACCCCGCCCAUCUGAAUUCUGACUCUGGUGGCUUCAGAGAAGCAAGCAGAAGCAGUUUGCCCAGCCCUGACAUGGAAAGUUUACUUUGCUCAUCAACCUGAAGGAGACCGAAAGCUAUGAGAGGCGGCUCCUGAAAAGAAUCUAGACUCCGGAUAUAAAAAGAUCUUGCAACACAAGGCCAAGUGGAAAUCAUGGAGAAGAGAGACAGAAGGAGAGAAGAGGGGCAGGAGGAGAGAAAACACAAGAAAGAGGAUGGAAGAUAAAGAGGAAGAAGAGGAGAUUAGGACACACAGACAUCUGGAGCACGUGUGCACAGAGGGAUGAUCAUGUGAGGACACGGCAGCUAGAGGACGCCAUCUGCAAGCCAAGGAGAGAGGACUCGGGGGACUCCAACCCUAUUGGCGCCUUGAAUUUAGACUUCCAUCCUCCUCAAAUGUGAGGAAGUACAUUUCUGUCUGUGGUAUUGUGUUAUGGAAGCCCUAGCAAAGGGCUCUGUAUGACAUAUUUGGUGUUCUUUUAACAACCCAGUAAAUUAAAUUCAU
This 1772-nucleotide long non-coding RNA is filed under the name Homo sapiens (human). Its description in RNAcentral is "HSALNT0060736". The record is from RNAcentral. Lineage: Eukaryota; Metazoa; Chordata; Mammalia; Primates; Hominidae.